AGUUGAUCCUGGCUAGGAUGAACGCUAGCUACAGGCUUAACACAUGCAAGUCGAGGGGAAACGAUAUUGAAAGCUUGCUUCUUAGGCGUCGACCGGCGAAUGGGUGAGUAACGCGUAUCCAACCUGCCCCUGAGUAAGGGAUAGCCCAUCGAAAGAUGGAUUAAUACCUUAUGGUUUCCUUUGAAGGCAUCGGAUUAGGAAUAAAGAUUUAUCGCUGAGGGAUGGGGAUGCGUCUGAUUAGCUUGUUGGCGGGUAACGGCCACCAAGGCGACGAUCAGUAGGGGUUCUGAGAGGAAGGUCCCCCACAUUGGUACUGAGACACGGACCAAACUCCUACGGGAGGCAGCAGUGAGGAAUAUUGGUCAAUGGGCGCAAGCCUGAACCAGCCAAGUAGCGUGCAGGACGACUGCCCUAUGGGUUGUAAACUGCUUUUAUACGGGGAUAAAGUCAGAGUCGUGACUCUGUUUGCAGGUACCGUAUGAAUAAGGACCGGCUAAUUCCGUGCCAGCCGCGGC
This 515-nucleotide ribosomal RNA is filed under the name uncultured bacterium. RNAcentral describes it as "bacterial SSU rRNA". It matches the Rfam family "Bacterial small subunit ribosomal RNA", at positions 10 to 518 of the family's 1533-position model. The record is from RNAcentral.